CUGAUGUGCAACUAUUGGCUUCUUCAUACUAGUAGUAGCCAAAGCCCUUGGCUAGGCAGUCUUUUACACAAUACAAAUAUGCAACUCGGAGAACAGUGCACAGGAUGGAGUCAGCAAAAAUACAGCACUUGUUUCGCACAGAGUCAAAGUUGAAGGGCGAAGUGGUGUGCUGGGGAGGAGUGCAGCAGGAAGAAGAGAGACAUCAGAAGACUGGACAGGAGAAGAGGGACAUCAGAAGACAUUCCAUUCACACAGAGC
This is a long non-coding RNA of Alosa sapidissima (American shad), 258 nucleotides long. RefSeq lists it as uncharacterized. The transcript has 4 exons. Lineage: Eukaryota; Metazoa; Chordata; Actinopteri; Clupeiformes; Clupeidae. The record is from RefSeq and is a predicted model, not a curated record.